CAGGCUCUGGUGGCUACAAACUGGUUCAGGUGUGGAAGAUCAUACCACUUUACCUUUGGUUUUUCUUUGAAAAGCAAACAACGAAAGACAGAUGAAAACAAGAAUUCUACCCGUGGGCAGGCAAGAAUUCUCUUCGGGAAAAGGGAUGUUUGUGGCUCUUCCACACAUUGGCCUUGAAAGAGGUUGUUUGCAGAGUGGCUAUUAUUAAAAUGUCCAAAAAAUAGAAAAUGCUGGUGAGGCUGCAGAGGAAAGGGAAUGCUUAUACACUGUUGGCCAGAGUGUAAAUUAGUUCAUGGAAAAAUUAUAAAGAAAGCAGUUUGGAGAUUUCUGAAAUAAUUUAAAACAGAACUACCAUUCCACCCAGCAAUUCCUUUACUGGGCAUUUACCCAAAGGAAAAUAAUUGUUCUGCCAAAAAUACACAUGCUCUUGCAUGUCCAUCACAGCAGUAUUCACAAUAGCAAAGCCAUGGAAUGAACCUAGGUGGCCAUCAGCGGUAGACUGGAUAAAGGAAAUGUGGUACAUAUACACCAUGGAAUACUAUGCAGCCAUGAAAAGAAUGAAAUCAUGUCCUUUGCAGCAACAUGGAUGGAGCUGGAGACCAUAAUCCUAAGCAAAUUAACAUAGGAAUGGAAAACCAAAUAUCAUAUUCUCAUGUAUAAGUGGGAGCUGAGCACUGGGUACACAUGGAUGUAAGACGGGAACAGUAGACACUGCAACUACUAGAGGGAAGAGAGAAGGAGGGUGGAAAGGGCUGAAAAACUACCUAUUGGGUACUGUGCUCACUGCCUGAGUGACGAGAUCAUUUGUGCCCCAAACCUCAGCAUCACACAAUAUACCCGUGUAACAAACCUACACGUGUACCCCCUGAAUCUAAAAUAAAAGUUGAAAUAAUUUUUUUAAAACAUAGGGCCUGGGCCAGAAGCGGUGGCUCAUGCCUGUAAUCCCAGCACUUUGCAUCACUUGAGGUCAGGAGUUCAAAACCAGCCUUGCCAACAUGGUGAAACCCUGUCUCUACUAAAAACACACACACAAAAAAUUAGCUGGGCACGGUGGUGCACGCCUGUAAUCCCAGCUACUUGGGAGGCUGAAUCACUUGAGCCCUGGAGGCGGAGGUUAUAGUGAGCAGAGAUCAUGCCAUGGCAUUCCAGCCUGGCUGUAGUUGAGCCAGAAGGAGAUAUUUUGUGUGAAGGCUGAGGUGGGGGCUCUUCAGAGCCUCUGUGAGCAGGAGGCCUAAGCCGUGGUGGUGGACAGAGUUGUAGCUUUCUGCCUCUUUGCCCUUUGGCAUGGACCCACAGGUGAACAGUACCAGCCUCCAUCCCCAGCACACGCUCUGCAGACCUUCACGUCUCACAGUUCCAUGUGAGCAAAUGGACUGGGAAAGCUGUGUGGCCUGAGAAAAGGCAAUGCCAUGGCCUGGCUCUCACACAGUAUUUUGUCUUGGAUUUUGAAAAAGCCUUUUUUUUUUUAAAUUUAAUUUAAUUUUUUUUUUUUUUUUUUUGCUUGUUUUGUGUUUUUGGUGGUGGUGGUGGUGGUGGUUUAUUUCACACUGACCACUUGGAACAAAUCCCAUGGUUAUCUGUGAUUUUCAUGCCCUGUUUCUGCUGGCAACCCUUCUGAGUGGGGUGACUCACUUUCCUGUAUAAAGAGUUUGAGUAGCCCAGGUAGGAGGUGGAAGCAGCCAUCUGGAAGGCCAUUGGGAUCCUUAUGUCUGUCUCUUGGCUUCAGAUAACCAGCUGGGCUUUGAUAGGAAUGAUCUGAAUGGAGACAGAAAACAGUGAAAACUAACGCUCCCCGCCCAGCCCUGUUUAUAUGAAGCAUUUGGUUCCUCUCUUGACUCUUGAGUGAUGAUGAGAUUCAGACGAGGCAUUGACAUUAUGGUAAGAAAGGGAGAAAAUGUAUCUGUCUUGUCUGUCUAUCUAUCUACUGGAUAUAUAGCUCCAAAAGCAGACAAACCCAAGGCCGUAAGGUGAACUAGGGUCUGCGUUUGGACUCCAUGAAAACAAAAUCCAUGUUGAACAAAGUGAUGUUUGUAUGCAGUGACAUUCUGGGUGACCCGUGUGUAUCUGUCCAUCGUGUGCAAGCCCUGAGCCCUGUUUCCCUCGGAAGAUAGUGAGUGGUAGCCAUCUCCUCACACGAACCACACAUGUGGAGCACAGAUGGCCCUCUCAAGGUCAGAGUGGGGAGCUGGUGUUAGCUGUGGGAUUCACUGCAGCGUCCUACCACAAAGGCAAAGAAGAUGAAAAUGCAGCGUGCAGUGCUGGGCUUGAUUCCCAAGUCGCAGUCGGGCUCCCGCUAUGGGUAGGAGGCUUUACACUCAGCCUGGGUCAGCACCGGAGCAUCCAGGCACUUCAGCUCGUCUGGGUAGUCAGCUGUGAGGAUCAGGAAGAGAUCAAAGAAAGUAGAAAUGUGGGUGAGGCCAGAGAAGGAGACAAUAAUCUGGGAUGGAACAUUGAAGAGGAACACUGCCUCUGGAGAGGACUCCAAAACAUGCAAGACAUUGUGAUUUUGACCUUGUUGGAUGCUGCACCUAAAGGUGGAUGGAAGAGGAAGAGUCUUGGGGGCUACCAUCCUGGCUGGAGAAGCUGGCACGAGGCUCCCUCUUGUGGAUGCAGCAAGGACUGUUAAAAAUCUCCCAAGGCAGAGACUUUUAGGCCUACAUGUACUUAGCCUCCUCUUCCCACCUCCUGUUCAUCUCUGUUUCCAAUGUUCCACUGCCAUCACUGCCAGGAAGUUCUGCAGAGAAGAAUGAAGAAGAACCGUAUGAUCCUAAACAUGUUCUUUGAAGAUAUUAUCAACCCACCAUUGGCCUUAUUUACUGGAAUGUUUUUAUAACCUUUAUUUGACACCUCUUCCCAUCAUUUAAAAUAAAUCUGGUGCUUCCCUGAAUAAUCUCUUGAGAUUUGUACAUGUCUCCCAGCAUCAUAUUUGUCCUUUUAACAAGCACACUCCUUCCACUGCUCAUGGCCAACUCAGGUUCACUACAAUCAGGGAAUCUAUGUCUUGCAACAAUCAGGUCUAUAUCAAACUUGAAUUUAUUUUCUUUUGUUUCUGAGAACUGUAAUUCCACUCCAAGGCCUAUACUGUACCCAACAGAGCUGCAUAUAUGUUUAACGAAAACAUGUCUUAGAAUAUUCACAAUACUUCUACUACUUAUGCCCUCAAACUGCAAACUACCCAAAUACCGGAGAAUAGAAUGGAUGAAUGAAUUGUAGUAAUAUUUAUUGAAUGCAAUAUAAUAAUGAUAAUGAAUUAACUGGAACUAUAUCCAAGAAGGAUGAAUCUCACAGACAUUAUGUUGGCUGAAAUGAGCCAAUCACAGAAGUGUACAUACUCUAUAACUGCUACAGAAAGUUCAAAGAACAGGCAAAACCAAUGCACAAUGUUAGAAGCUGGGAUUGCAUUUAUCCUGGGGUAGGGGAUGGGGUAUUGGCUGGAAGUAGGGGUGAGGAGGCCCUCUGCUGUUUUUGUUGUAUUCUCUUUAUCUGGGUGCUGGUUUUGAGGGUGUGUUCACUUUGUGAAAAUCCACUGAGCUGUAAACUUAUGUACAUUUCUAUAUGUGUGUUUUUAUAAAACUUACAGAAAACAAAGAAGAAAUAUAUUGCCGUAUAUUGAUUGGACUCUAUUCUGGGCUAUCUUGGAAACUGCAGCUUGAAGACAGCUAGGCCUCAGCAUAUGCCCUGACCUCCUGCAAUCUAAGCUCUGGAUCCUGGUCAACUUUGGGAGAAUAAUCAAGCCAAUUUUCAGAGAAGCAGUUUCUAUGUCUUUCAGGUCCUUGUGUCCUAAGGGAUUAGGAGCAUUAGGGACCUGGUCUCAGUGUGAUCCUGAGAGCUCAUCCAUUCUCUGGUCAUCCUUCAAGGAAAUGCCAGGCUCCUGAAUUCAUCUGCACAAACAGAGCUGGCCAGGCUACCUGCUGCCCACCAUCCCAUUGUCUUUCCUGCAUUGUUCUGGGACUCUGGCCACACUUACCUUCCAAAAUAACUGUGCAGUUGUCAUCAUUGUUCAGGAGACUAUUUUGGAACACUGGCUUAGCUUGGUGACGUGUAGAGAUCCAGGAAGGGCCUCAGCUGUCGGGAGGGAGGCCCAGGGCCAUCAGGGAGCUGGGGGUGGUAAGAAGUGACAGGGAUUGGGCUUCAGGAGGUGUGGAGGGGCCCAGGGGGAGCACCAUUUCUGACAAGUGUUCAGUCUUGGUGUGGAGAAUUGCAAAGAAAGAGGAGAAAGGAUUUGGGGGGAUUGGGUGCAGGUUGGAGGGAAGCUGGGAGGGGAGAAAAGAGUGAAGGAACAUUAGAUUGAUUAGUGCUGGAGGAAGAGGUAAGGAGAGACUUCGUUCACAGAGGAGGGGCUGGGAAGUGAGGGUAUGAGUUAAAGGGCACUAAUGGUAUGCUGACAUAUUGUUUCAAGAGUGGUUUCUGUAGCCUGGAGGACUUAAGGACAGCUGUUGGGAAUCUACGGGGUGAUAGAAAAGUAAGUGGGAGAAAGGGGAUGUGAUGAUUGAUGGGCAGCUUAGUGUCGAGUCAGGUGACAUCCUGCCAUGUUUAGCAAUGUAAUAAGUGGUCAGAUGACCUCACAAUCUUCAGGGCUGGGAGAUGGCAGAACCUUCUCACAGGGGUUGUGACAGAGGAGUUGGGUAGAUGUGUUCUCAGCAUAGAUGUGUUCUCAGUGGGCAAAGGUGGAAUUCCCUUCUCUUUUCUGUUUUCGCUUGACAACACAGGCCUGCAGAAACAGCAUACCAUGAGUUAAAACCCCUCAAUUGCAUGGGUUUUUGCACCCCCAUGAUUUGACAGGGUCUCUAGCUCUUUGAAAGUCUGCAACAAGACAGAAGAAAAGUCUGGGCUCCUGUGGGGGUGUUACAUGUGCUUGUGUACAAAUUAGCCCCCACAGGACUCUGCAGCUCCACGUUGCUCUGCUGGGCACUGGGGCCAUGUGCUCUGUUGGUCUAUGGGAACCUCUGUCUCCCUAGAGUUACAGUUUAAGAGAGGGGUUUCCAAAAAAGGUUGCUAAUGUCCCAGGAUUUUAUGGACUUUAAGUAAAACUUCUUUUUUUCUGUUGUACUCAGAAUGUUUUGAAGCUUUGUUCCUAGGUUACCUCACAGUGCCUGAAUUCUUUCCUUUCUUUUCUUAGACAUGGGGUCUUGCUCUCUCACCCACGCUGGAGCGUAGCAGCUAUUCACAGGUGUGAUCAUAGCACACCACAGCCUCCUGGGCUCAAGCAAUCCCCCUGCUUCAGCCUCCUGAGUAGCUGGGACCAUAAGCAGGAGCCCAUACCCAGCUUCAAUUCUUCUUUUCCUACAAUAAGUUCUGGUCCAGAAAAUUUUGCAACUCACCCCCGCCCUUCACUCCACAAAAAGACUUCCACUGGGAUUCCUGUCAAAAUGCCAGACUCACUUGAAUCCCUAGGAUGGAUCCAGCCUCGGUUUAAGUGCAGAUUCCUGCUUCAUCUCAGAGCCUGGCUGUUUUGAGGAGCAGGUGGUUUUACCCAUCCACCCACUCGCCCCUUGCUUCAUUGUCUAGGCCUGUCCUUUCUCACCUAGUGUCCUAAUCCCCUCCUCACUACCUCACAAUGGAGAAAGCUCUGUGUUGCUUUCUUUCAGGAUUUUCCUGCUUUUCAAAAGAGCUAGGGCACUAUGUGCUUUCAUGCAGGACCUAAGCAAAUAAGGACAUCUCAAGGAGAUGCCUAACUCUUAACCUGGUGCCCACCCCACCCUGGAGAGGACAGUUCUUGUUCAUAGUGUACAUGAUUGUUUAUGUCAAAGACCCAAUGAGUUUGCAAAGACCUCUUAGGACUAAUAAGUGAGUUUAACAAGUUUGCAGGAUAUAAGGUUAACACACACACACAAACAAAUCAAUUGUAUUUUUAUACAUCAGCAUAUUAGGGUUCUCUAGGAAAACAGAACCAAUAGGAUACACACACACACACGUAUAUAUGUGAGAGGUACACACACACGUGUGUGUGUGUGUUUAAAAAGAGCGAGGCAGAGAGAGAUUGGUUAGUUUUAAUGAAUUUGCUUGUGUGAUUGUAGGGGCUGGCAAAUUUGAAUUCUACAGAGCAGGCUGUCAUGGUGGAGACCCAAGGAAGAGCUGAUGUUGCAGCUCAUGCCUGGAGGCCGUCUGCUGGUAGAACUCCCUCUUUUCCAAGGAACCUCAGUCUCUCUUCUCAAGGCCUACAACUGAUUGGGUGAGGUCCACUUACAUUAUGGGGGGUCAUCUGCUUUACUCAAAGUUGAUUGAUUUAAGUGUUAAUCACAUCUAAAACAUUUCUUCACAGCAUCAUCUAGACUGGUGUUUGAGCCCAAACUGUCUACCAUGGCAUGGCCAAGUUGACACAUAAAAUUAACCUCAAGGCUGGGCGUGGUGGCUCACGCCUAUAAUCCCAGCACUUUGGGAGGCCGAGGCGGGUGGAUCACAAGGUCAGGAGAUUGAGACCAUCCUGGCAAACAUGGGGAAACCCCAUCUCUACUAAAAAUACAAAAAAAUUAGCUGGGAGUAGUGGCGGGCGCCUGUAGUCCCAGCUACUCAGGAGGCUGAGGCAGGAGAAUGGUGUGAACCCGGGAGGCGGAGCUUGCAGUGAGCUGAGAUCGUGCCACUGCACUCCAGCCUGGGUAACAGAGUGAGACUCCGUCUCAAAAAAAAAAAAAAAAAAUUAACCAUCACAACCAGAAAUGUGGAAUUGGAUAGGAAAAUUGAAAACCAGUACCACAUAGAAUACCAAAAAAUGAAAUAGAUAAACAUCUUACUGAAAGCUACAAAAUACCAGUGAAAAUACUCAAAGAAGAUAUAAACAAAUAACAAGAAACACCAUAUUUGAAGAUUGGAAGACUUAACUUUAAAAAGUUGCCAAUUCUGCCAAAACUGAUAUAGAGAUUUAAAACAAUUCCAGUCAAAAUCUCACCAGGACAUAUUGUUGCUAUAGACAAGCUGAUUCUAAUGUUUACAUGGAAAGUCCAAGGACUUGAAUAGCUAAAACAACUUUGAAAAAUAAGAAUAAUGGUGUAGGAAACAUGCUACCCAGUUUUAAAACAUACUACAAAGUUACAGUAAUCAGGACAGUAUGGUAUUGCCUGGGAACACAGAGCUCAAUGGAACAGAAUCGAGUCCAGAAAGAUAACUGCUUAAAUAUGGCCAUGUGAUUUUUGACAAGGGUGCAAGGGUAAUUCAGUAAAGGAUCAUAUUUUCAACAAAUGAUGUUAGAACAACUGAACAUUCACAUAAACAAAACAGACAAACAAGAAAACUGAAACCUUACAGCUUGUAUACAAAUGAACUCAAUAUUGAUGAGAUGUAAAAGUGAAGCUCUAAAAAGUUCAGAAAAGAACAUAGUAGAAAAUCUCUUCCUGGGAUUAGGAAAAGAGUUCUUAGACACGGUACUAUAAGCACGAUCCGAAAAAGUUGAUAAAUAGGUCUUUAUUGAAAUUAAAAGACUUAAGAUGCUAUUAAAAGAAUGAAAACAGUAUAGCCCAGGAGAAAAACUUUGCAAGUCACAUAUGUCACAAGACUUUGCAGAAUAUAUAAAUGGCAAAUAAAACACAAAAAGAUGUUCAAUAUCAUUAAGCAUUAGAGACUUGUAAACAAACCAAAUACACCUAUUAGAAUUGCUGAAAAAAGGAAAACCUUUGGUAAUACCAAGAACUGUUGAGAGCAAUUACAUUUUUUUUUUAUUAUUAUUAUACUUUAAGUUCUGGGGUACAAGUGCAGAACGUGCAGUUUUGUUACAUAGGGAUACAUGUGCCAUGGUGGUUUACUGCACCCAUCAACCCAUCACCUACAUUAGGUAUUUAUCCUAAUGUUAUCCCUCCCCUAGCCCCCUACCCCCCGACAGGCUCUGGUGUGUGAUGUACCCCUUCCUAUGUCCAUGUGUUCUCAUUGUUCAACUCCCAC
RNAcentral lists this long non-coding RNA (7872 nucleotides) under Homo sapiens (human). RNAcentral's name for it is "HSALNT0148292". The record is from RNAcentral. Lineage: Eukaryota; Metazoa; Chordata; Mammalia; Primates; Hominidae.